CACAGUCUUUGUGACGGAGCUCAGCAAGUCUGCUUCUGUGCCUGGCUGUAAUGGGUGUGAAGUAGGAUGACAGCAAUGGAUGAGUAUGGGGUUGGGGAUAGGUCUCAUUUCUACUCAAGUUUUUUACUCUUCUGCAGCAAGCAAGCAGUGAAAAGUGUAGGCUGCACUAAAGACCGGCUCUAGCCUCCCUCAUUGUAGACUUCCCAGGAUUUGGAUCUGACUCCUGGUCCAAACCUGAGUUCCUCUCUUGGGUACUCACGUCAUAAUGAGGUAGACCUUAAGAUAUGGAAACCCAAAGCAUGGAGGAUUUGAACCCUCAGGGAAGGUGCGACUGCACAGAAACACUGGAAAAGAAAAAUCCGUAAUAUCAGUCUGUGGACACACUGAGGCAAACCUAGCAGGUAUUUUGAAGAUGCCCCAAAUUCAUAUGAGAAUCUUUUCUAUGGAAAUGCAACACAGGAGGAAACUCAGCUUUCUAUUGAAAAGAAUAUUUCACUGGAAAAAAUGUGACUGUUUUUGAUUCUUAUGCCCUUAAAUUACCAUUGUUUACCAUUUUAAAUUUGGUAUUAAUUACUCAUAAUUCUUUUAAAUGCUUUAGUCAUACAUUCAAGAAAUGCACAUAAGCAAUGAGCCUUAGAUGACCAGUAUGUUUUCACUGCUUGUUAAAACUUGC
This 673-nucleotide long non-coding RNA is filed under the name Apteryx rowi (Okarito brown kiwi). RNAcentral describes it as "lncRNA (ENSARWG00000007117.1)". Lineage: Eukaryota; Metazoa; Chordata; Aves; Apterygiformes; Apterygidae. The record is from RNAcentral.